RNAcentral lists this ribosomal RNA (499 nucleotides) under uncultured bacterium. RNAcentral describes it as "bacterial SSU rRNA". It matches the Rfam family "Bacterial small subunit ribosomal RNA", at positions 31 to 518 of the family's 1533-position model. The record is from RNAcentral.
GAGCGCUAGCGACAGGCUUAACACAUGCAAGUCGAGGGGUAACAGGGUAGCAAUACCGCUGACGACCGGCGCACGGGUGAGUAACGCGUAUGCAACCUGCCUAGUAACUGGGGGAAUAGCUCCCUGAAAGGGGAAUUAACACCGCAUAACACUAUUGAUUCGCAUGGAUUAGUAGUUAAAUGUAGCGAUACAGGUUAUAGAUGGGCAUGCGUGACAUUAGCUAGUUGGUGAGGUAACGGCUCACCAAGGCUACGAUGGUCUAGGGGUUCUGAGAGGAAGGUCCCCCACACUGGUACUGAGACACGGACCAGACUCCUACGGGAGGCAGCAGUGAGGAAUAUUGGUCAAUGGGCGCAAGCCUGAGCCAGCCAUGUCGCGUGCAGGAAGACUGCCCCCUAUGGGUUGUAAACUGCUUUUAUAGUAGAAGAAACACAUCUACGCGUAGAUGUCUGCCAGUAUACUAUGAAUAAGCAUCGGCUAACUCCGUGCCAGCCGCUGC